Molecule: ribosomal RNA, 710 nt
Filed under: Buellia badia
Lineage: Eukaryota; Fungi; Ascomycota; Lecanoromycetes; Caliciales; Caliciaceae
Description: mitochondrial SSU rRNA
Rfam family: Bacterial small subunit ribosomal RNA
Source: RNAcentral
AUGUAUAGCGAAAGCUAAUUGUAUUUAACAUAGCGAAAGCUAAGUUGAUGCAAUAUUGACUAUGUUAAAUAAAGUUCUAGGUAGAAUUAUGAUGAUGACAUUGUCUAUCUAUGUGUCUUGACCAAAUUACGUGCCAGCAGUCGCGGUAACACGUAAAAGACUAGUGUUACUCAUCUUUAAUAGGUUUAAAGGGUACCUAGACGGCCAAUCAAGCCCCCCCCAAAAGGGUACUAAUAGGCUAGAGUUUAAUAUAAGGAGGCAUGAAAGUACUGAGAAUGUAGAGAGAUGAAAUUCUGUGAUACUAUAUACGGCACUGGUAAAGGCGAAAGCAUCUUAUUAUGUAAUAACUGACGUUGAGGGACGAAGGCUGUGUGUAGCAAAAAGGAUUAGAUACCCAAGUAGUCUCAGCAGAAAAUGAUGAAUGUCAUAGGAUAGAUAAAUUUUGUACUAUAAAUGAAAGUGUAAGCAUUCCACCUUAAGAGUAAUUUGGCAACAUUGGAACUGAAAUCAUUAGACCGUUUCUGAAACAAGUAGUGAAGUAUGUUGUUUAAUUUGAUGGUCCGCAAAAAACCUUACCACAAUUUGAAUAUAAAAAUUUUUAUACAAGCGCUGCACGGUUGUCUUCAGUUAAUGUCGUGAGAUUGUGGUUAGUUCCAUUAAAUUAACGUAAACCCUUACUUUAUUUCUAUAUAGAGUAGUUCACCGCCAUA